Molecule: ribosomal RNA, 508 nt
Filed under: uncultured Glomeraceae
Lineage: Eukaryota; Fungi; Glomeromycota; Glomeromycetes; Glomerales; Glomeraceae
Description: SSU rRNA
Rfam family: Eukaryotic small subunit ribosomal RNA
Source: RNAcentral
AGCAGCCGCGGUAAUUCCAGCUCCAAUAGCGUAUAUUAAAGUUGUUGCAGUUAAAAAGCUCGUAGUUGAAUUUCGGGAUCAAUUAAUUGGUCGUGCCUCUGGUACGUACUGAUUUUAUUGGUUUCUCCCUUCUGACGAACCAUGAUGUCAUUAAUUUGGUGUCGUGGAGAAUCAGGACUGUUACUUUGAAAAAUUAGAGUGUUUAAAGCAAGCUAACGCUUGAAUACAUUAGCAUGGAAUAAUGAAAUAGGACGUUUGAUCCUAUUUUGUUGGUUUCUAGGAUCGACGUAAUGAUUAAUAGGGAUAGUUGGGGGCAUUAGUAUUCAAUUGUCAGAGGUGAAAUUCUUGGGUUUAUUGAAGACUAACUACUGCGAAAGCAUUUGCCAAGGAUGUUUUCAUUAAUCAAGAACGAAAGUUAGGGGAUCGAAGACGAUCAGAUACCGUCGUAGUCUUAACCAUAAACUAUGCCGACUAGGGAUCGGAUGAUGUUAAUUUUUUAAUGUACUCA